CCUAGCUGUAGUCAAUGACCUAGGCUGCAUUGCACCUAGGCAAGUGUUACACUGCUGGGAGAAAAGCAGCUAAUGGCUGGCAGGCAUCCUGGGCCUGGUUGAUGCCAAAUUUGUGUUAACUAUACCAGUGUGCCGGCAUAGUUGCCUAUUCUAUACAUAUAUAUUAUUAAAGAUGUGUCAGGUGUAGACACU
This 192-nucleotide small nucleolar RNA is filed under the name Ochotona princeps (American pika). RNAcentral's name for it is "Small nucleolar RNA SNORA74 (ENSOPRG00000022231.1)". The record is from RNAcentral. Lineage: Eukaryota; Metazoa; Chordata; Mammalia; Lagomorpha; Ochotonidae.